Non-coding RNA from Triticum aestivum (bread wheat), 135 nucleotides. The record is from Rfam. NCBI's taxonomy places the organism in Eukaryota, Viridiplantae, Streptophyta, Magnoliopsida, Poales, Poaceae.
AAGCUACUCCCUCUGUUCCAAAAUUCUUGUCUUAGAUUUGUCUAAAUACGGAUGUAUCAAGUCACGUUUUAGUAUUAGAUACAUCCGUAUCUAGACAAAUCUAAGACAAGAAUAUUUGGACAGAGGGAGUACAUC